AGAGUUUGAUCCUGGCUCAGGAUGAACGCUGGCGGUAUGCCUAACACAUGCAAGUCGAACGAUGUCUUCGGACAUAGUGGCGGACGGGUGAGUAACGCGUGAGAAUCUGCCUCUAGGAUGGGGAUAACGGUUGGAAACGACCGCUAACACCCAAUAUGCCGUAAGGUGAAAAAUUUAUUGCCUGGAGAGGAGCUCGCGUCUGAUUAGCUAGUUGGUGGGGUAAGAGCUCACCAAGGCUUCGAUCAGUAGCUGGUCUGAGAGGAUGAGCAGCCACACUGGGACUGAGACACGGCCCAGACUCCUACGGGAGGCAGCAGUGGGGAAUUUUCCGCAAUGGGCGAAAGCCUGACGGAGCAAUACCGCGUGAGGGAGGAAUGCCUUUGGGUUGUAAACCUCUUUUCUCAGGGAAGAAGAUCUGACGGUACCUGAGGAAUAAGUAUCGGCUAACUCCGUGCCAGCAGCCGCGGUAAUACGGAGGAUGCAAGCGUUAUCCGGAAUCAUUGGGCGUAAAGCGUCCGCAGGUGGUUUCCAAAGUCUGCUGUUAAAGACUGGAGCUCAACUCCGGAACGGCGGUGGAAACUUGGAAACUAGAGUUCGGUAGGGGUAGCAGGAAUUCCCAGUGUAGCGGUGAAAUGCGUAGAUAUUGGGAAGAACAUCGGUGGCGAAGGCGUGCUACUGGACCGUAACUGACACUCAGGGACGAAAGCUAGGGGAGCGAAAGGGAUUAGAUACCCCUGUAGUCCUAGCUGUAAACGAUGGAAACUAGGUGUGGCUUGUAUCGACCCGAGCCGUGCCGUAGCUAACGCGUUAAGUUUCCCGCCU
This 822-nucleotide ribosomal RNA is filed under the name uncultured marine microorganism. RNAcentral describes it as "bacterial SSU rRNA". It matches the Rfam family "Bacterial small subunit ribosomal RNA", at positions 9 to 873 of the family's 1533-position model. The record is from RNAcentral.